RNAcentral lists this ribosomal RNA (207 nucleotides) under uncultured bacterium. Its description in RNAcentral is "partial 16S ribosomal RNA". It matches the Rfam family "Bacterial small subunit ribosomal RNA", at positions 568 to 774 of the family's 1533-position model. The record is from RNAcentral.
CGCGUAGGUGGUUUGUUAAGUUGGAUGUGAAAGCCCCGGGCUCAACCUGGGAACUGCAUCCAAAACUGGCAAGCUAGAGUACGGUAGAGGGUGGUGGAAUUUCCUGUGUAGCGGUGAAAUGCGUAGAUAUAGGAAGGAACACCAGUGGCGAAGGCGACCACCUGGACUGAUACUGACACUGAGGUGCGAAAGCGUGGGGAGCGAACA